UUUAAAUUACUUAUAUUUAUUUACCACCUUUUCCUCCAAGGAGCUCAAAGGCAUGUGUAUGGCAGACUAGGCCGAGACAGUGACUGGCCCAAGGUCACCCGGUGAGCUUCAUGGCUGAGUAGGGAUUCGAACACUGGUCUCCCAGGUCACAGUCUGACACUAACCAUCACACCAUAGUAGGAACGAACAACAAAUUACACACAAUAAGAACAAAGACAUGCCUUAAAGAAUAUUGCGUCUCCUACAAGGAGACUGGAAAGGUUACUUCAAGGUGGGGGGAAAAGGUGGCUGAAUUUACUUCAGUGAAUCAAUCUGUAAUUGAACAUCUUGAAAUGGAAACUGACUGGUUGCAGGAGUUCUAAAUGAGAACCAGAUUUGGAAUUUUGAAGUCAUUAUAUUACUUUUUAAUUACAUAGAAAUAAAUUGUAUUUGAUCAGCACAUGCACAAUUGAUUUCAUGUUUCAUUAAAGCUACUUCGUGUUAAGUUGCCAACACUAACAGAAACAGAAGUACAAGGAGUUGAAGCCCUGUCAAGACUGAUGGGGCACUCAGGGGGCGAAGUUUGUUCAUGGAUGGGGGAGAGAGGGGGAGCUCAAAGGCCAGUUAAGGAAACCUCCUAUAUAUUGACUUGUCUGCUGAGAAAAACUACCUGCUCAUCUUUCACGGAACCUUAGUGGGUCACAUAGGAUUCUGUGCUAUGCUUUAAGGGACACACUUUGUUCAUGCUAGCAUUCACCAGACAUAUUGGAACUUUACCAUUUCCUGUCACGAAAGGAGCAUAUAACCCUCUCCAUUAAGGAACUCUGCUAAGCUUCCAAGAAAUUCUGAGGUUUCCUAUACAGCGGUACCUCAGUCUACGAACAGCCCUGUUAACGAACUAUUUGGUGUACGAACUCCGCAAAACCGGAAGUAGGUGUGCUGGUUAGCGAACUUUGCCUCGGAAGAUGUACGGAAGCCGAACGGUGGAAGGACACUGGUGGUGGGAGGCCUCAGUAGGGAAAGCGCGCCUCGGUUUAAGAACGCUUUGGUUUAAGAAUGGACUUCCGGAACGAAUUAAGUUCGUAAACCGAGGUACCACUGUAAGAUAAGUUUGAAAACCACUGUACUAAAGAAGGUGUAUGCCAUCUGCUGACCUACGUUGUUACUGGUUAUAAGCCUGCUCUUGUAUUCCAGUUGAAAUCCAGAUACCCAAACUCCCCAGUGAAGGACUGGGAAUGGCUGCAGAUGAAGCAAAAGAGGGUUAAAUGGCCAGUUCAUGAUUGAUGUCGCUUGCAAUUUUGCUUUAUUGCAAACUGUUUUAUUGUUAACCUUACAGAGGCUACGCCUUUAAUUGCAAUAAAUAAAUAAUCAUCGCUAACA
Molecule: long non-coding RNA, 1359 nt
Organism: Podarcis raffonei (Aeolian wall lizard)
Lineage: Eukaryota; Metazoa; Chordata; Lepidosauria; Squamata; Lacertidae
Exons: 2
Source: RefSeq, a predicted model, not a curated record